AACAAAAACAUGUCCUUUUGAAUUUAAUUUAAGGUCUAACCUGCCCAAUGAAAAAUUUAAAUGGCCGCAGUAUUUUGACUGUGCAAAGGUAGCAUAAUCAUUAGUUUUUUAAUUGAAAGCUUGUAUGAAGGGUUGGACGAGAUAAAAACUGUCUUAAAUUAAUUUAUUUUAGAAUUUAAUUUUUAAGUUAAAAAGCUUAAAUUUAAUUAAAAGACGAGAAGACCCUAUAGAUCUUUAUAAUUUUUAUUUUAAUUAAAUUUUAGAAUUAAUUAUUAUUUAAUUUAAAAAUUAUUAUAUUGGGGUAAUAUAAAGAUUUAAGUAAUUCUUUAUUUAUUUAUACAUUAAUAUAUGAAUAUUUGAUCCAAUAUUAUUGAUUAUAAGAUUAAGUUACCUUAGGGAUAACAGCGUAAUUUUUUUAAAGAGUUCAUAUCGAUAAAAAAGUUUGCGACCUCGAUGUUG
This 459-nucleotide ribosomal RNA is filed under the name Cybister senegalensis. RNAcentral describes it as "partial 16S ribosomal RNA". Lineage: Eukaryota; Metazoa; Arthropoda; Insecta; Coleoptera; Dytiscidae. The record is from RNAcentral.